RNAcentral lists this ribosomal RNA (226 nucleotides) under uncultured bacterium. RNAcentral describes it as "partial 16S ribosomal RNA". It matches the Rfam family "Bacterial small subunit ribosomal RNA", at positions 109 to 334 of the family's 1533-position model. The record is from RNAcentral.
AGUAACGCGUGGGUAACCUGCCUCCAUACAGGGGGAUAACAGUUAGAAAUGACUGCUAAUACCGCAUAAGCGCACAGUGCUGCAUGGCACAGUGUGAAAAACUCCGGUGGUAUGAGAUGGACCCGCGUCUGAUUAGCUAGUUGGUGGGGUAACGGCCUACCAAGGCGACGAUCAGUAGCCGGCCUGAGAGGGUGAACGGCCACAUUGGGACUGAGACACGGCCCAA